Molecule: ribosomal RNA, 501 nt
Filed under: uncultured bacterium
Lineage: Bacteria
Description: partial 16S ribosomal RNA
Rfam family: Bacterial small subunit ribosomal RNA
Source: RNAcentral
AACGAACGCUGGCGGCACGCCUAACACAUGCAAGUCGAGCGGUAACAUGGUGUGUAGCAAUACACACUGAUGACGAGCGGCGGACGGGUGAGGAACACGUAGGAACCUGCCCAAAAGAGGGGGAUAACCAAGGGAAACUUUGGCUAAUACCGCGUAAUCUCGAGAGAGAAAAGCUGCCGCAAGGUGGCGCUUUUGGAGGGGCCUGCGUCCGAUUAGCUAGUUGGUGAGGUAAUAGCUCACCAAGGCGAUGAUCGGUAACUGGUCUGAGAGGACGACCAGUCACACUGGGACUGAGACACGGCCCAGACUCCUACGGGAGGCAGCAGUGGGGAAUAUUGGACAAUGGGGGCAACCCUGAUCCAGCGAUGCCGCGUGAGUGAAGAAGGCCUUCGGGUCGUAAAGCUCUUUAGGUUGGGAAGAAGGUUGUGGGAGGAAAUGCCUGCAGCUUGACGGUACCGACAGAAUAAGCACCGGCAAACUCUGUGCCAGCCGCCGCGGUAA